UUAUGGUACUGCGGAGGAUCAUUACUGAUUUGCUUAAUUGCACCACAUGUGUUUUUUAUUGAACAAAUUUCUUUGGUGGCGGGAGCAAUCCUACCGCCAGAGGUUAUAACUAAACCAAACUUUUUAUUUACAGUCAAACUUGAUUUAUUAUUACAAUAGUCAAAACUUUCAACAACGGAUCUCUUGGUUCUCGCAUCGAUGAAGAACGCAGCGAAAUGCGAUACGUAAUAUGAAUUGCAGAUAUUCGUGAAUCAUCGAAUCUUUGAACGCACAUUGCGCCCUUUGGUAUUCCAAAGGGCAUGCCUGUUUGAGCGUCAUUUCUCCCUCAAACCCCCGGGUUUGGUGUUGAGCAAUACGCUAGGUUUGUUUGAAAGAAUUUAACGUGGAAACUUAUUUUAAGCGACUUAGGUUUAUCCAAAAACGCUUAUUUUGCUAGUGGCCACCACAAUUUAUUUCAUAACUUUGACCUCAAAUCAGGUAGGACUACCCGCUGAACUUAAGCAUAUCAAUAAGCGGAGGAAUA
This 523-nucleotide ribosomal RNA is filed under the name Candida tropicalis. Its description in RNAcentral is "eukaryotic LSU rRNA". The stretch from base 164 to 317 matches the Rfam family "5.8S ribosomal RNA". The record is from RNAcentral. Lineage: Eukaryota; Fungi; Ascomycota; Pichiomycetes; Serinales; Debaryomycetaceae.